GCAGUCGUGGCCGAGUGGUUAAUGCGCUGGACUAGAAAUUCAUUGGGGUCUCCCCGCACAUGUUCGAAUCCUGUCGACUGCA
Ixodes scapularis (black-legged tick) is the source of this 82-nucleotide non-coding RNA. Lineage: Eukaryota; Metazoa; Arthropoda; Arachnida; Ixodida; Ixodidae. The record is from Rfam.